GACGAACGCUGGCGGCGUGCCUAACACAUGCAAGUCGAACGGAGAAAUUCAGCAAUGGAUUUCUUAGUGGCGAACGGGUGAGUAACGCGUAGACGACCUGCCUCUUAGAUGGGGACAACAUCGCGAAAGCGGUGCUAAUACCGAAUGAAGUGGAGCUUCCGCAUGGAAGCAUCACCAAAGGUGGCCUCUAUUUAUAAGCUACCACUGAGAGAUGGGUCUGCGUCUGAUUAGCUAGUUGGCGGGGUAAUGGCCCACCAAGGCGACGAUCAGUAGCCGGUCUGAGAGGAUGAACGGCCACAUUGGGACUGAGACACGGCCCAAACUCCUACGGGAGGCAGCAGUGGGGAAUCUUCCGCAAUGGACGAAAGUCUGACGGAGCAACGCCGCGUGAGUGAAGAAGGUUUUCGGAUCGUAAAGCUCUGUUGUUUGAGACGAAUGUGCAGACUUUGAAUAAGGGUUUGUAAUGACGGUAUUAAACGAGAAAGCCACGGCUAACUACGUGCCAGCAGCCGCGGUAA
RNAcentral lists this ribosomal RNA (518 nucleotides) under uncultured bacterium. Its description in RNAcentral is "partial 16S ribosomal RNA". It matches the Rfam family "Bacterial small subunit ribosomal RNA", at positions 28 to 523 of the family's 1533-position model. The record is from RNAcentral.